GUUAAUGGUAAUGAAAUUGAAUCUUCAGUCUUCUUUAUUAUUAAUAUUUGAAUCAAUACGAUUGAAGAAAAUCAAAAAUGAACAUUUCUUUUUAUAUUUUGUUACUUUUUGUUGUCUCAACUUACGCUGGUAAACUUCAACCGAGACCUUUGGAGUUGGAAUCAACCAAACGAAAUGUGGAUUCUGGCAUUCAUGCUUCUGGAAUCCAAUCCAGUUCAAGUCUUAACUCUGCUAAUUUAAGGAAGACCAGAUCGACUAGCAAUCCCUGAUUUUAGAACCUUACUCAUCAAACGAGAAAAAGAAACCUGUUUCUCUAAGUUCCCUGUUAAAAUGUGCAUCCCAGGCCAUCAUGCUUCACAAACUGAAUCUAAAGAUGUUGAUUUGGUUUGUAUAGCUGCGAACUCACAUCCACUUGUCCAUCUUUGGGCUAAAGAAGUUGAAAAACGUAUACUUUAUGAAGUUGCGGAUCUUUCCGCGACUGAAACUUAUACAUACACUUCACCAACCAAGUGCAGCAGUUAAGGAAUCAAUUUUAUAAAUUAAAUGUUCUUUUCCUUCUUCUUU
Tetranychus urticae (two-spotted spider mite) is the source of this 564-nucleotide non-coding RNA. Lineage: Eukaryota; Metazoa; Arthropoda; Arachnida; Trombidiformes; Tetranychidae. The record is from RefSeq and is a predicted model, not a curated record.